UUUGCCAGCAGCCGCGGUUAAACCAGUAAGUUAAGUUAUAUAUCUUGGUAAAAAGACAGUUAGACAAAAAUUAGCUUAUUGAUUUUCUAUACAGAAGUAAAAUUUAAUAUAGAUGUAAUAACAUAAUAAUAGCUUUAAUUGUUGAAUCUGUGACAUCUUUAAGGGAAACUGGGAUUGGAUACCCCAUUAUUUCUAGACGUAAAUAAAGAAAUUUACCAGAGUACUACAAAUAAAAUAAUUUAAAACUCAAAGAGCUUGGCGGUAUUUUAGACCACUUAGGGGAACCUGUCUCAUAAUCGACAAUCCACGUUUAACCUUACCUUUUUUAGUAAUCAGCUUGUAUACCGUUGUCAUCAGGUAACUUUUAAAGAAUAAAGUAGUUAGCUAAAAAAUUUAUUUAAAUUUAGAUGUCAAAUCAAGGUGCAGCCUAUAUAAAGGAGAAGAUGGGUUACAAUUAUAAGUUAUAAUACGGAUAUGAAAACUGAAAAUAUCUUGAAGGAGGACUUAAAAGUAAAUUUAUAUAUGUAUAUAAAUAAUUUGAACAAGGCUCUAAAAUGUGCACACAUCGCCCGCCACUCUAAA
This 582-nucleotide ribosomal RNA is filed under the name Conidae sp. 2 NP-2008. RNAcentral's name for it is "partial 12S ribosomal RNA". Lineage: Eukaryota; Metazoa; Mollusca; Gastropoda; Neogastropoda; Conidae. The record is from RNAcentral.